AACAUCGCGCACCUGCGGGAACCUGCGGAAGGAUCAUUACUGAGUGCGGGUUCUGAUCGAGCCCAACCUCCCACCCGUGUUUACCGUGACCGUGUUGCUUUGGCGGGCCCACUAGGGCUCCCCUCUGGUCGCCGGGGGGCUGCUGCCCCCGGGCCCGUGCCCGCCGAAGCGCCUGUGAACCCUGUCUGAAUAGUGAGUCUGAGUGUGGGAUGAAAUCAUUAAAACUUUUAACAAUGGAUC
This 240-nucleotide unclassified non-coding RNA is filed under the name soil metagenome. Its description in RNAcentral is "partial contains 5.8S ribosomal RNA, internal transcribed spacer 2, and large subunit ribosomal RNA". The record is from RNAcentral.